AAUGACAUGGUACUGCAAGAUUAGAAUGGUAUAAGUAAUUUGAAUUUCUUUUAGGAUUUCCCAAUGUGAUUGGCUGCAUUGAUGGCACACAGUCCAUUCACAGCAUUAAUGUGCAGAUCAUAUGUGAUGCUGCAUAUCUUAUAACCAACGUGGAGGCCAAAUGGCCUUGGUCUGUGCAUGACUCGUGGAUAUAUCGUGAGUCUGCCCUGAACAACAGACUGGAACUUGCCUGCCUAUGGUCCCCCAGUGGCUAGAAAUGGCGAUAGGUGUAAACCGAGCCC
Long non-coding RNA from Perca fluviatilis (European perch), 281 nucleotides. RefSeq lists it as uncharacterized. The transcript is spliced from 3 exons. Lineage: Eukaryota; Metazoa; Chordata; Actinopteri; Perciformes; Percidae. The record is from RefSeq and is a predicted model, not a curated record.